RNAcentral lists this ribosomal RNA (406 nucleotides) under uncultured bacterium. RNAcentral's name for it is "partial 16S ribosomal RNA". It matches the Rfam family "Bacterial small subunit ribosomal RNA", at positions 30 to 526 of the family's 1533-position model. The record is from RNAcentral.
AUUGAACGCUGGCGGCAGGCUUAACACAUGCAAGUCGAGCGAGCGGCGGACGGGUGAGUAAUGUCUGGGAAACUGCCUGAUGGAGGGGGAUAACUACUGGAAACGGUAGCUAAUCCCGCAUACCAUCAGAUGUGCUCAGAGGGGUUAAGCUAGUAGGUGGGGUAAUGGUUCACCUCGGGGACGAUGCCUGGCUGGUCUGAGAGGAUGACAAGCCACACUGGAACGAGGACACGGUCCAGACUCCUACGGGAGGCAGCAUUGGGAAAUAUUGAACAAUGGGCGCAAGCCUGAUGCAGCCAUGCCGCGUGUGUGAAGAAGGCCUUCGGGUUGUAAAGCACUUUCAGCGAGGAGGCGUUACUCGCAGAAGAAGCACCGGCUAACUCCGUGCCAGCAGCCGCGGUAAUAC